RNAcentral lists this ribosomal RNA (218 nucleotides) under uncultured bacterium. RNAcentral's name for it is "partial 16S ribosomal RNA". It matches the Rfam family "Bacterial small subunit ribosomal RNA", at positions 99 to 334 of the family's 1533-position model. The record is from RNAcentral.
CGCACGGGUGCGUAACGCGUGGGAAUCUGCCCCUCGGUUCGGAAUAACAGCGAGAAAUUGCUGCUAAUACCGGAUAAUGACGUAAGUCCAAAGAUUUAUCGCCGAGGGAUGAGCCCGCGUAGGAUUAGCUAGUUGGUGUGGUAAAGGCGCACCAAGGCGACGAUCCUUAGCUGGUCUGAGAGGAUGAUCAGCCACACUGGGACUGAGACACGGCCCAG